GGACACGCAGAGGUGACAGCCGUGGGACAGGCGGGUGGGAGCUCACAGGAAGAGCUGAAACCCCUGGAGAGCCAGGGCUGCCAGGGGGGGAUGGUGACCGGUGCCUGCUAAAUUUAGCCCCCACUGAUGAAAAAAAAAAAAAAAAAAAAAAAAAAAUUUUUUUGCAAGCUCCAAAUUUAGCCGGAUGCAGCUCGCACUGAGCACCACUCCAUCGCUGCCUGCACCCCUUCAGCCCCGGCAGCAUGGAGUGGCAUUGUCCCUUUGAGUCCCCAGAGGGCCACAGCUGGCCAGGAAUGACCCCCAGGCAGGCCAGGAGCAGCUGAGGAGUUCAUGACCAUCUUUAUUGGAGGCAAGGCCACAGCAGCCGGGCGCACACGGCAGGACACGCGACGGACACCACUCCAUGCACCACCACGGGACACACGGACACACACAGGGACUGGCCGAGCCCCUGGGGCUCCAGCUGGGGCUCCCCAGUGCCCAGGGGCUCGUUUGGGGGCUCGGUUCCACCCCGUGCCCUUGGGAGCUGGGCUGGACUGGGAGGCACUGGGGAAUGGGGGGAUAAAGGCUUCAGGUGCCCCCCAGCUGCAAUGGCUUCAUCCUCCCUGCACCAGGGACAGCUGGCACGGAGCCCAGCCCCUGACCUUUCCACCAUCAGGGUAAGGAGGUGGGAGCUGCAAUCCCAGCCCCUCCUGGGCUCAGGAGCUUUGCUCCAUCAGGGUGAGGAGCAGGUGGGAGCAGGCAGGCCUGCUGGCCCAGGCCUUUGGCAGUGUGGGAGCAGAUGGAGCCCCUGGGGCAGGGAUCACCUCCCUGGCCACCAAAGGGGUGUCUGGCUGGAGCCUGGCAGUGCUGCUGCUGGUGUGUCACUGUCCCAUGGCCCAGAGUGUGGCCCUGGGCUCGCUGUGCCCUGCAGGACGUGCUGAGUGCUCAGCCCUGAUUCCAGCCCAAGGCAGCAGGGACAGGCUCAGUGCCCUCCCAGCUCUGCCAGCACAGCCCAGCAGAGCCCCCAGGGCUGCUCUCUGCCCAGAGCCCAGCAAACUGUGACGGGGACAAGGGGCAGGGAAACCACAGCUCACUGCCCAUGCACUGCUGAUCCCCAUCUGGGACAAAACCCUGCCUUGAGGGCAGGGAAACAGAACCAAACCUGCUGGCCUGGUGUGCUGCCAUCCCCCAGAUUGUCACCC
RNAcentral lists this long non-coding RNA (1184 nucleotides) under Junco hyemalis (dark-eyed junco). Its description in RNAcentral is "lncRNA (ENSJHYG00000017267.1)". Lineage: Eukaryota; Metazoa; Chordata; Aves; Passeriformes; Passerellidae. The record is from RNAcentral.